CAGCAGCCGCUGUAAUACCGGCGGCCCGAGUGGCGGUCACUAUUAUUGGGCUUAAAGCGUCCGUAGCCGGGUUGGGAAAUCCUCCGGGAAAUCUGGCCGCUUAACGGUCAGAAUGCCGGAGGAUACUCCCAGCCUAGGGAGCGGGAGAGGCCGAGGGUAUUCCCGGAGGAGGGGUGAAAUCCUAUAAUCCCGGGGGGACCACCUGUGGCGAAGGCGCUCGGCUGGAACGCGUCCGACGGUGAGGGACGAAGGCCAGGGGAGCAAACCGGAUUAGAUACCCGGGUAGUCCUGGCUGUAAACGAUGCGGACUUUGUGUCGGACAAGCUAUGAGCUUGUCCGGUGCCGGAGGGAAACCGUUAAGUCCGCCGCCUGGGGAGUACGGCCGCAAGGCUGAAACUUAAAGGAAUUGGCGGG
RNAcentral lists this ribosomal RNA (414 nucleotides) under uncultured microorganism. RNAcentral's name for it is "bacterial SSU rRNA". It matches the Rfam family "Archaeal small subunit ribosomal RNA", at positions 459 to 872 of the family's 1478-position model. The record is from RNAcentral.